RNAcentral lists this ribosomal RNA (282 nucleotides) under uncultured bacterium. RNAcentral's name for it is "partial 16S ribosomal RNA". It matches the Rfam family "Bacterial small subunit ribosomal RNA", at positions 335 to 631 of the family's 1533-position model. The record is from RNAcentral.
GUGCCUACGGGGGGCAGCAGUGGGGAAUAUUGCACAAUGGGCGAAAGCCUGAUGCAGCAACGCCGCGUGAAGGAAGAAGGGUUUCGGCUCGUAAACUUCUAUCAACAGGGACGAAAGAAAUGACGGUACCUGAAUAAGAAGCCCCGGCUAAAUACGUGCCAGCAGCCGCGGUAAUACGUAUGGUGCAAGCGUUAUCCGGAUUUACUGGGUGUAAAGGGAGCGCAGGCGGCGCGUUAAGCCUGGUGUGAAAGCCCGCGGCCCAACCGCGGGACUGCAUUGGGA